This 68-nucleotide transfer RNA is filed under the name Ictidomys tridecemlineatus (thirteen-lined ground squirrel). Its description in RNAcentral is "Spermophilus tridecemlineatus (thirteen-lined ground squirrel) tRNA". It matches the Rfam family "tRNA". Rfam says of the family: Transfer RNA (tRNA) molecules are approximately 80 nucleotides in length. Their secondary structure includes four short double-helical elements and three loops (D, anti-codon, and T loops). Lineage: Eukaryota; Metazoa; Chordata; Mammalia; Rodentia; Sciuridae. The record is from Rfam by way of RNAcentral.
GGAGUUGUGGCUCAGUGGUAGAGCAUUGUCUAGAACUCAUGAGGCCCUGGGUUUGAUCCCCAGCACCG